RNAcentral lists this unclassified non-coding RNA (245 nucleotides) under plant metagenome. Its description in RNAcentral is "partial contains small subunit ribosomal RNA, internal transcribed spacer 1, and 5.8S ribosomal RNA". The stretch from base 197 to 245 matches the Rfam family "5.8S ribosomal RNA", at positions 1 to 49 of the family's 154-position model. The record is from RNAcentral.
UCUCCGUUGGUGAACCAGCGGAGGGAUCAUUACAGGACUCGCAAGACUCCUACAACCCUGUGAACUUAACUAUAAGCACGUUGCUUCGGCGGGUGUCUCGGAGGGGGUUCUCCCUCCCCGAGACGCUAAACCCGCCGGCAGCCUACUAUACUCUGUCUCUUUGCGUUGGCAUCUCGAGUACAAUCAAACAAGUUAAAACUUUCAACAACGGAUCUCUUGGUUCUGGCAUCGAUUAAGAACGCAGC